This 253-nucleotide ribosomal RNA is filed under the name uncultured bacterium. RNAcentral describes it as "partial 16S ribosomal RNA". It matches the Rfam family "Bacterial small subunit ribosomal RNA", at positions 524 to 776 of the family's 1533-position model. The record is from RNAcentral.
UACAGAGGUCUCAAGCGUUGUUCGGAUUCAUUGGGCGUAAAGGGCGCGUAGGCGGCUCGGUAAGUCGGGUGUGAAAUCUCGGAGCUUAACUCCGAAACUGCAUUCGAUACUGCCGUGCUUGAGGACUGGAGAGGAGACUGGAAUUUACGGUGUAGCGGUGAAAUGCGUAGAUAUCGUAAGGAAGACCAGUGGCGAAGGCGGGUCUCUGGGCAGUUCCUGACGCUGAGGCACGAAGGCCUGGGGAGCAAACGGG